GCCUGGCUGGCUCAGUCAGUGGGAGCAUGUGACUCUCGAUCUCGGGGGUCAUGGGUUUGAGUCCCACGUUGGGCA
Molecule: transfer RNA, 75 nt
Filed under: Felis catus (domestic cat)
Lineage: Eukaryota; Metazoa; Chordata; Mammalia; Carnivora; Felidae
Also listed under: 2 other names
Rfam family: tRNA
About the family: Transfer RNA (tRNA) molecules are approximately 80 nucleotides in length. Their secondary structure includes four short double-helical elements and three loops (D, anti-codon, and T loops). Further hydrogen bonds mediate the characteristic L-shaped molecular structure. tRNAs have two regions of fundamental functional importance: the anti-codon, which is responsible for specific mRNA codon recognition, and the 3' end, to which the tRNAs corresponding amino acid is attached (by aminoacyl-tRNA synthetases). tRNAs cope with the degeneracy of the genetic code in two manners: having more than one tRNA (with a specific anti-codon) for a particular amino acid; and 'wobble' base-pairing, i.e. permitting non-standard base-pairing at the 3rd anti-codon position.
Source: Rfam by way of RNAcentral